CUCUGAAUCCUAUCAUCUGCAUAACCAAAGUCUGUGAAGCUGUGCUCACAUGCAAGGUGAAAAUGACUCAUACUAAGGACUCAUAAUCAAGCAUCAAACCCAAGGACUCUCAGAUACAAAGCAAGCAUUCACACCUCUAUUCCCAGGAC
This is a long non-coding RNA of Fukomys damarensis (Damara mole-rat), 149 nucleotides long. RefSeq lists it as uncharacterized. NCBI's taxonomy places the organism in Eukaryota, Metazoa, Chordata, Mammalia, Rodentia, Bathyergidae. The transcript has 3 exons. The record is from RefSeq and is a predicted model, not a curated record.